AUUGAACGCUGGCGGCAGGCCUAACACAUGCAAGUCGAACGAGUGGCGGACGGGUGAGUAAUGUCUGGGAAACUGCCUGCUGGUGGGGGAUAACUACUGGCAACGGUAGCUAAUACCGCAUACCCUCGGAUGUGACCAGCUGGGAUUAGCUAGUAGGUGGGGUAACGGCUCACCUAAGCGACGAUCCCUAGCUGGUCUGAGCGGAUGACCAGCCACACUGGAACUGAGACACGGUCCAGACUCCUAAGGUAGACAGUAGUGGGGAAUAUUGCACAAUGGGCGCAAGCCGGAUGCAGCCAUUCCACGUGUAUGAAGAAGACCUUCGGGUUGUAAAGUACUUUCAGCGGGGAGGCGUUACCCGCAGAAGAAGCACCGGCUAACUCCGUGCCAGCCGCCGAGGUAAUAC
This 406-nucleotide ribosomal RNA is filed under the name uncultured bacterium. RNAcentral describes it as "partial 16S ribosomal RNA". It matches the Rfam family "Bacterial small subunit ribosomal RNA", at positions 30 to 526 of the family's 1533-position model. The record is from RNAcentral.